RNAcentral lists this ribosomal RNA (766 nucleotides) under Streptomyces sp. HVGB11. RNAcentral describes it as "bacterial SSU rRNA". It matches the Rfam family "Bacterial small subunit ribosomal RNA", at positions 96 to 874 of the family's 1533-position model. The record is from RNAcentral. Lineage: Bacteria; Bacillati; Actinomycetota; Actinomycetes; Kitasatosporales; Streptomycetaceae.
UGGCGAACGGGUGAGUAACACGUGGGCAAUCUGCCCUGCACUCUGGGACAAGCCCUGGAAACGGGGUCUAAUACCGGAUAAUACUUUCCUCUGCAUGGGGGAGGGUUAAAAGCUCCGGCGGUGCAGGAUGAGCCCGCGGCCUAUCAGCUUGUUGGUGGGGUGAUGGCCUACCAAGGCGACGACGGGUAGCCGGCCUGAGAGGGCGACCGGCCACACUGGGACUGAGACACGGCCCAGACUCCUACGGGAGGCAGCAGUGGGGAAUAUUGCACAAUGGGCGAAAGCCUGAUGCAGCGACGCCGCGUGAGGGAUGACGGCCUUCGGGUUGUAAACCUCUUUCAGCAGGGAAGAAGCGAAAGUGACGGUACCUGCAGAAGAAGCGCCGGCUAACUACGUGCCAGCAGCCGCGGUAAUACGUAGGGCGCAAGCGUUGUCCGGAAUUAUUGGGCGUAAAGAGCUCGUAGGCGGUUUGUCACGUCGGAUGUGAAAGCCCGGGGCUUAACCCCGGGUCUGCAUUCGAUACGGGCAGACUAGAGUGUGGUAGGGGAGAUCGGAAUUCCUGGUGUAGCGGUGAAAUGCGCAGAUAUCAGGAGGAACACCGGUGGCGAAGGCGGAUCUCUGGGCCAUUACUGACGCUGAGGAGCGAAAGCGUGGGGAGCGAACAGGAUUAGAUACCCUGGUAGUCCACGCCGUAAACGUUGGGAACUAGGUGUUGGCGACAUUCCACGUCGUCGGUGCCGCAGCUAACGCAUUAAGUUCCCCGCCU